UCCAAGAGUCUUGAUGAUCAUCCAGGUGCUUUUUGGCAAACUGGAGUCAACCUUUUUGGACGAGAUGGGUCCCAUUAUGCCUGGCGAACACCAAAGGACUUCAGGGGCUUAUUCUGUUGCAAAAAGUUUCGUAAAUGGAAUGAAAUAGGGAGGGACCUACCUGAAUUUGUCCAAUAGAAACUCUUGUUUUAGUGUUUGGACAAAUGAUUACACCCCAGGUGUGCACAUGCAAAACUGUGGCCCACUGAGGUUUCCCAAACUGGUUUCCCAAACUGGCUGCCAACUGAGGUUUCCCAAACUGGUUUCCCAAACUGGCUGCCAACUGAGGUUUCCCAAACUGUUUGUGCUUUGACCCGAUUCCAUGUCCCUGUGGCCCAGCAAGGCACGUACCCCCUCAAGCUGCUCCAGGUAUUUCCGUUGUGCCCUUGAGCAAGGCACUAACCCCCUCGAGCUGCUCCAGAUAUUUCCGUUGUGCCCUUGAGCAAGGCACUAACCCCCUCAAGCUGCUCCAGGUAUUUCCGUUGUGCCCUUGAGCAAGGCACUAAUCCCCUCAAGCUGCUCCAGGGGCACCACCGCAUCUCCUACUAACGUGUCAUUUCCUGUCUCCCUUCAGGUGAUCAUCAACAGCACCAUCACCCCAAACAUGACCUUCACCAAGACCUCCCAGAAGUUUGGCCAAUGGGCUGACAGCAGAGCCAACACAGUGUUCGGACUGGGGUUCGCCUCCGAGCAGCAGCUGGCCAAGUUUGCUGAGAAGUUCCAGGAAGUGAAGGAAGCAGCGAAGCUGGCCAGGGACAAGUCACAGGAGAAGAUGGAGACAUCGAGUAACAAUUCCCAGGAGUCGGGUCGUGAGACCCC
This is a long non-coding RNA of Oncorhynchus tshawytscha (Chinook salmon), 858 nucleotides long. RefSeq lists it as uncharacterized. NCBI's taxonomy places the organism in Eukaryota, Metazoa, Chordata, Actinopteri, Salmoniformes, Salmonidae. The record is from RefSeq and is a predicted model, not a curated record. The transcript has 3 exons.